This 261-nucleotide ribosomal RNA is filed under the name uncultured bacterium. RNAcentral's name for it is "partial 16S ribosomal RNA". It matches the Rfam family "Bacterial small subunit ribosomal RNA", at positions 94 to 353 of the family's 1533-position model. The record is from RNAcentral.
AGUGGCGGACGGGUGAGUAACGCGUGGGUAACCUGCCUCACACUGGGGGAUAACAGUUAGAAAUAGCUGCUAAUACCGCAUAAGCGCACGGUUCCGCAUGGAACAGUGUGAAAAACUCCGGUGGUGUGAGAUGGACCCGCGUCUGAUUAGCCAGUUGGCGGGGUAACGGCCCACCAAAGCGACGAUCAGUAGCCGGCCUGAGAGGGUGACCGGCCACAUUGGGACUGAGAUACGGCCCAGACUCCUACGGGAGGCAGCAUG